Molecule: ribosomal RNA, 567 nt
Filed under: Penicillium dipodomyicola
Lineage: Eukaryota; Fungi; Ascomycota; Eurotiomycetes; Eurotiales; Aspergillaceae
Description: eukaryotic LSU rRNA
Rfam family: 5.8S ribosomal RNA (bases 246-398)
Source: RNAcentral
UCUUGGUCCAUUAGAGGAAGUAAAAGUCGUAACAAGGUUUCCGUAGGUGAACCUGCGGAAGGAUCAUUACCGAGUGAGGGCCCUCUGGGUCCAACCUCCCACCCGUGUUUAUUUUACCUUGUUGCUUCGGCGGGCCCGCCUUAACUGGCCGCCGGGGGGCUUACGCCCCCGGGCCCGCGCCCGCCGAAGACACCCUCGAACUCUGUCUGAAGAUUGUAGUCUGAGUGAAAAUAUAAAUUAUUUAAAACUUUCAACAACGGAUCUCUUGGUUCCGGCAUCGAUGAAGAACGCAGCGAAAUGCGAUACGUAAUGUGAAUUGCAAAUUCAGUGAAUCAUCGAGUCUUUGAACGCACAUUGCGCCCCCUGGUAUUCCGGGGGGCAUGCCUGUCCGAGCGUCAUUUCUGCCCUCAAGCACGGCUUGUGUGUUGGGCCCCGUCCUCCGAUCCCGGGGGACGGGCCCGAAAGGCAGCGGCGGCACCGCGUCCGGUCCUCGAGCGUAUGGGGCUUUGUCACCCGCUCUGUAGGCCCGGCCGGCGCUUGCCGAUCAACCCAAAUUUUUAUCCAGGU